Molecule: small RNA, 544 nt
Filed under: Pan troglodytes (chimpanzee)
Lineage: Eukaryota; Metazoa; Chordata; Mammalia; Primates; Hominidae
Description: processed transcript
Source: RNAcentral
GGCAACCCACCCCUGAUUGGACAGUCUCAUCAAGAAGGUUGGUCAAGAGCUCAAGUGUUUCUGAGAAUCUGGGUGAUUUAUAAGAAACCCUUAGCUGAAUGCAGGGUGGGGAGAACGAAAGACAAAAGCAUCUUUUUUCAGAAGGGAAACUGAAAGAAAGAGGGGAAGAGUAUUAAAGACCAUUUCUGGCUGGGCAGGGCACUCUCAGCAGCUCAACUGCCCAGCGUGACCAGUGGCCACCUCUGCAGUGUCUUCCACAACCUGGAGUGUAGUAUUUGUUAAACAGGUGAAUCUACUUCUCUUAACAAAGUCUCAAUGUCCUAUUUGCAAUUUAUGUGGUAAACACUGAAGACAAUGGUCCUUAACCUUUUGGCAUCUCAGCCUCCUUUCGAAAGGUUUUACAGCAAGUUAAAAUGAAGCUGGAGUUCAGCCAAUCUUUGGAAUCCUGAGAAACACAAGAAAUUUAAUAACAGCACUCGUAACGUAGUUACAUCUUGCUUUACAGUUUACAAAGUGCUACCAUGCCUUUUUUUUCUCAUUUUGU